Molecule: long non-coding RNA, 395 nt
Organism: Octopus bimaculoides (California two-spot octopus)
Lineage: Eukaryota; Metazoa; Mollusca; Cephalopoda; Octopoda; Octopodidae
Source: RefSeq, a predicted model, not a curated record
UCCAUUCGAUUUUUGAUGAAUUUGGAUGUCAGAAUUACUUCCCUAACUCUCUUUUACAAUAAUUAUCAUUAAUGUUAAUAUCUUUACUUCUUUUUUUCAUUAUAGGUGUAAUUCAUUAAAAAAUAUGAGGAAGCUCAAUAUGAAGUAUAUUAGAUCCUAUAGGUUAAUCCAGCAGAAGCGAAAAAAAAAAAAAAACGGUAACAAGAAAAAUCUGAAGUCUGCCAACAUUCCUUCCUCCAUAUGAUGCCACAUGGAAGGACUUAGCUCUUGUUAAUCAAAUUAUUUCAUCGAUGAAAAUCCACUGUCACAUAUAGAAAAAUUAAUAAGUAAAAGGACACUGUCUAAGUAUAAUGUAAUACAAAGUAAAUAUCAUAAGAUAAAGAUAAUAAAAUGAC